GGUGGCUCAAUGGUAGAGUGCUUGCCUUGCAUGCAUGAGGCCCUGGGUUCGAUUCCUAAAGCACCA
Molecule: transfer RNA, 66 nt
Filed under: Dipodomys ordii (Ord's kangaroo rat)
Lineage: Eukaryota; Metazoa; Chordata; Mammalia; Rodentia; Heteromyidae
Rfam family: tRNA
About the family: Transfer RNA (tRNA) molecules are approximately 80 nucleotides in length. Their secondary structure includes four short double-helical elements and three loops (D, anti-codon, and T loops).
Source: Rfam by way of RNAcentral